GAAAUGCGAUAAGUAGUGUGAAUUGCAGAAUUCCGUGAAUCAUCGAAUCUUUGAACGCACAUUGCGCCCUCUGGUAUUCCGGGGGGCAUGCCUGUUUGAGCGCCAACAAGACACACCUCGGGCCUCCCUCCCCUCGCAAGGGGGGCGGGCGGCACCGGUCCUGGGGGCUCGUGGCGUCAGCGCCACGCCCUCGAAAUGCAUCGGAUGGCGGAACCCACCAGCCCGUGCCCGACGUAGUAAACUUCAUUCUCGACGGGACCACGCCUGGCAGUUCCUGCCGAUGAGACCCCUCAGCAUUCCUGGCUUCAAAUCAGGUAGGGAUACCCGCUGAACUUAA
RNAcentral lists this unclassified non-coding RNA (337 nucleotides) under uncultured Pezizomycetes. RNAcentral's name for it is "sequence contains ITS1". The stretch from base 1 to 105 matches the Rfam family "5.8S ribosomal RNA", at positions 50 to 154 of the family's 154-position model. Lineage: Eukaryota; Fungi; Ascomycota; Pezizomycetes. The record is from RNAcentral.